Long non-coding RNA from Dipodomys spectabilis (banner-tailed kangaroo rat), 138 nucleotides. RefSeq lists it as uncharacterized. The transcript is spliced from 3 exons. The record is from RefSeq and is a predicted model, not a curated record. Lineage: Eukaryota; Metazoa; Chordata; Mammalia; Rodentia; Heteromyidae.
UAACAGUGUUAAAAAAGCAAUGUAAGGAGCAAAUUGUUCCUAAACCAGAGGAGGAGGUUGCACAGAAGAAAAAGGUAUCCCAGAAGAAACUGAAGAAACAAAAACUUAUGGCACGGAAUAAAUUUAGCAUAAAAUAAA